CUCAGUUGGUUAGAGCAGAGGACUCAUAAUCCUUUGGUCCACGGUUCGAGUCCGUGUGGGCCCACCA
Molecule: transfer RNA, 67 nt
Filed under: Pseudomonas sp.
Lineage: Bacteria; Pseudomonadati; Pseudomonadota; Gammaproteobacteria; Pseudomonadales; Pseudomonadaceae
Description: tRNA-Met
Rfam family: tRNA
About the family: Transfer RNA (tRNA) molecules are approximately 80 nucleotides in length. Their secondary structure includes four short double-helical elements and three loops (D, anti-codon, and T loops).
Source: RNAcentral